GAGGGUAGAGUUCAGUGGUAGAGCACAUGCUUAGCAUGCACGAAGUCCUGGGCUCAAUGCCCAGUACCUCUG
RNAcentral lists this transfer RNA (72 nucleotides) under Camelus bactrianus (Bactrian camel). It matches the Rfam family "tRNA". Rfam says of the family: Transfer RNA (tRNA) molecules are approximately 80 nucleotides in length. Their secondary structure includes four short double-helical elements and three loops (D, anti-codon, and T loops). RNAcentral also lists the same sequence under 2 other names. Lineage: Eukaryota; Metazoa; Chordata; Mammalia; Artiodactyla; Camelidae. The record is from Rfam by way of RNAcentral.